CUCGCGUCGUCUGUUGAAAAGAUGAUUUGCAAUUUUUCAUAGAAGCCAGAAGAUUGAAAAUUAUUCACAGGAAAAACAUUUUAAAUUGUUUUGAGACAAACAAAAUCAACAUUCUAUUAAACAAAAGACAGAGUAAACGAAUUUACGUGCUUUUCCAUGCAUUGUAAGAAUCCAAGAACAUAGAACAUGUAAUCUCUGAUAAAAAAAAACACCAAAAGAUUGCUACGAUAAAACUGUUGAGUAACUACUUGUAAUACAGAAUGCAUCAAUAAUCAAGAUGGUGGUAUGCUACAUAUAAUAUUGAUACUAUGACAGAUGAGAAAAGAAACUGAAGACAUAACCAAGUGCUGAACAGCAAAGAUUAAGAUAUAAGGAGCAGAUAUUUUCCUGAAGAUGUAAUUAAUAUCUGCAAAGAUAAUGUGAAGGGAACAGAGGCUAUCAUGAUGAUUCUUUAAAAGAAAAGAUACAGAAACACAAGCUCCUGUAGACACUUAUGAAAAAGAAGAUGCUUUUGCAAUGCAUCUGUGUGAAUGUG
Long non-coding RNA from Mytilus trossulus (common blue mussel), 535 nucleotides. RefSeq lists it as uncharacterized. The record is from RefSeq and is a predicted model, not a curated record. The transcript is spliced from 3 exons. Lineage: Eukaryota; Metazoa; Mollusca; Bivalvia; Mytilida; Mytilidae.